This 419-nucleotide ribosomal RNA is filed under the name uncultured bacterium. RNAcentral describes it as "bacterial SSU rRNA". It matches the Rfam family "Bacterial small subunit ribosomal RNA", at positions 356 to 773 of the family's 1533-position model. The record is from RNAcentral.
AAGGAAUAUUGGACAAUGGACGGAAGUCUGAUCCAGCCAUCCCGCGUGGAGGAGUAAGGCCCUAUGGGUUGUAAACUCCUUUAGCAGGGGAAUAAAAAGGUCAUUUAUGAUCAAUUGAAGGUACCCUGAGAAUAAGCACCGGCUAACUCCGUGCCAGCAGCCGCGGUAAUACGGAGGGUGCAAGCGUUAUCCGGAUUUACUGGGUUUAAAGGGUGCGUAGGCGGACUAUUAAGUCAAAUGUGAAAGCUUGCAGCUCAACUGUAAGAUUGCGUUUGAUACUGGUAGUCUUGAAUAUGGUAGAAGUUGGCGGAAUAAAUCAUGUAGCGGUGAAAUGCUUAGAUAUGAUUUAGAACACCGAUUGCGAAGGCAGCUAGCUAUGUCAUAAUUGACGCUGAGGCACGAAAGCGUGGGGAUCAAAC